Cotesia glomerata is the source of this 433-nucleotide long non-coding RNA. RefSeq lists it as uncharacterized. The record is from RefSeq and is a predicted model, not a curated record. NCBI's taxonomy places the organism in Eukaryota, Metazoa, Arthropoda, Insecta, Hymenoptera, Braconidae. The transcript is spliced from 3 exons.
UCUACUUCCAAGAAAACAAACAUUAUUAUUAUUCCGAGGAAAAUUAUCAGCUAUUACGUUUAACGUUUAAAGUUUUUAUUCCGCUUACUGUUAAACUCGUUCUAGAAUUUUCGACUCUUAAAUUUUCCGGGAAACAAAUCUUAAAAAGAAGAAACAUGUCAAAGAUGCUGGUGAUUUUUUUUAUUUUUGGAAUUUUUGGCGCUGUUAUUAGUCAGUUUGACGAUUGCAAUCAUCCGUGCAAUCUUAAAAAAGAAGGCCAAUGCUGCGACGGUUAUAACUGCUACAAAUUUUCAGAAAAAGUUGCGCUUUGUACGACGCCGGAAGAUUGUGAUGAAAUUAUGGAUCAUUUCAAAGAGACAGGUGCUUUGUUGUAAAAUUUUAUUAUUGUUAUUUUAGUGGAUAAAAUAAAAAAUAAAUUAAUUUGAAGAGCGAA